GACGAACGCUGGCGGCGUGCUUAACACAUGCAAGUCGAACGGAAAGGCCCUGCUUUUGUGGGGUGCUCGAGUGGCGAACGGGUGAGUAACACGUGAGUAACCUGCCCUUGACUUUGGGAUAACUUCAGGAAACUGGGGCUAAUACCGGAUAGGAGCUCCUGCUGCAUGGUGGGGGUUGGAAAGUUUCGGCGGUUGGGGAUGGACUCGCGGCUUAUCAGCUUGAUGGUGGGGUAGUGGCUUACCAAGGCUUUGACGGGUAGCCGGCCUGAGAGGGUGACCAGCCACAUUGGGACUGAGAUACGGCCCAGACUCCUACGGGAGGCAGCAGUGGGGAAUAUUGCACAAUGGGCGGAAGCCUGAUGCAGCAACGCCGCGUGCGGGAUGACGGCCUUCGGGUGGUAAACCGCUUUCGCCUGUGACGAAGCGUGAGUGACGGUAAUGGGUAAAGAAGCACCGGCUAACUACGUG
This 468-nucleotide ribosomal RNA is filed under the name uncultured bacterium. RNAcentral's name for it is "partial 16S ribosomal RNA". It matches the Rfam family "Bacterial small subunit ribosomal RNA", at positions 28 to 507 of the family's 1533-position model. The record is from RNAcentral.